AGAGUCAGCGUAGGCGGUUGCAGGCUAGCAGCGCUAGUCUGAGGAAAGUCCGGGCUCCCGAAAGACCAGACUUGCUGGGUAACGCCCAGUGCGGGUGACCGUGAGGAGAGUGCCACAGAAACAUACCGCCGAUGGUGCCUAUUCGGCACACAGGUAAGGGUGCAAGGGUGCGGUAAGAGCGCACCAGCAGCAUCGAGAGGUGCUGGCUCGGUAAACCCCGGUCGGGUGCAAGGUCAAGGGGCUAGGUUGGUCUUUUACCGGCCCCGCUGUUAAGAACCGCUUGAGGCGGCUGGUAACAGCCGUCCCAGAUAGAUAACCGCCCCCCUGUUGGGGAACAGAACCCGGCUUAUGUCUGACUCUUUCC
RNAcentral lists this RNase P RNA (364 nucleotides) under filamentous cyanobacterium CCP5. Its description in RNAcentral is "Bacterial RNase P class A". It matches the Rfam family "Bacterial RNase P class A". From Rfam's summary of the family: Ribonuclease P (RNase P) is a ubiquitous endoribonuclease, found in archaea, bacteria and eukarya as well as chloroplasts and mitochondria. Lineage: Bacteria; Bacillati; Cyanobacteriota. The record is from Rfam by way of RNAcentral.